This is a long non-coding RNA of Ailuropoda melanoleuca (giant panda), 701 nucleotides long. RefSeq lists it as uncharacterized. NCBI's taxonomy places the organism in Eukaryota, Metazoa, Chordata, Mammalia, Carnivora, Ursidae. The record is from RefSeq and is a predicted model, not a curated record. The transcript has 3 exons.
CAGAGGACCCUAUAAAUGAUUUGUCAUUUAAAAGUGAUAGAGGCUUUUAAGUGUUUAAGAGAUUAACACUGUGAGCAUGCUUUCUCUUGAUCUAAGCUGUAGACUUCUGCUUUCCUACUUACAAUCUCAAAAUGGAUCUUUCAAGCAAUGCAAUUAUCUGCACUUUAGACACUCUCACCUCCAUGGCAGUAGGCCCGCUGCUGAGAAGACAGAACGCACAUCACCAGUCCACGCAUCAGCUGAGAUCUCACUGCAAUUCAAAGGUAGCUGGCAUCACCGGCGGACCCUUCCUGCUGCUGCUGGGUGAUCUGGAUGUCCUCUGAAGAAGCCCUCACUUCUCUGCUGCAUAUUGCUUCCAACUGUAUUUGUAUUUUCCUGACUAGUCCACGAUUGAAUGGGAGCUAGAUUACAUGAAUUCUACAAAGCACGGUAUAUUAUUUCAUAUAUAUGAAAUAUAACAUAGAAACAAUAUAACAUAGAAACAAUUGGUUGAACAAGACACCAGUUUCUCUUCAUAUAUUUCUUUGAUUCAAGAACAAAUAUGCCAUCAUACACCAUUUCAAAAUAUUUUACCCUUUUAAAUAUGUAACAAUCUAAUGUGAUUAAUACACUGGUUCACAGAAGCACAUUUUAUAUAUAAUGACUGAUUGUUCUUAUAAUGUAGAACACUGACUUCUUUGGAAUGCUUAGUAACAUUAAUA